Molecule: ribosomal RNA, 443 nt
Filed under: uncultured bacterium
Lineage: Bacteria
Description: partial 16S ribosomal RNA
Rfam family: Bacterial small subunit ribosomal RNA
Source: RNAcentral
CCUACGGGUGGCAGCAGUGGGGAAUAUUGGGCAAUGGGCGCAAGCCUGACCCAGCAACGCCGCGUGAAGGAAGAAGGCUUUCGGGUUGUAAACUUCUUUUCUCAGGGACGAAGCAAGUGACGGUACCUGAGGUAUAAGCCACGGCUAACUACGUGCCAGCAGCCGCGGUAAUACGUAGGUGGCAAGCGUUAUCCGGAUUUACUGGGUGUAAAGGGCGUGUUGGCGGGGAUGCAAGUCAGAUGUGAAAACCUUGGGCUCAAACGAUGGCCUGCAUUUGAUACUGUAGUUCUUGAGGACUGGAGAGGCGGACGGAAGUCCUAGUGUAGCGGUGAAAUGCGUAGAUAGUAGGAGGAACACCAGUGGCGAAGGCGGUCUGCUGGACAGCAACUGACGCUGAGGCGCGAAAGCGUGGGGAGCAAACAGGAUUAGAUACCCCUGUAGUC